This 1343-nucleotide ribosomal RNA is filed under the name uncultured bacterium. Its description in RNAcentral is "16S ribosomal RNA". It matches the Rfam family "Bacterial small subunit ribosomal RNA", at positions 28 to 1378 of the family's 1533-position model. The record is from RNAcentral.
GACGAACGCUGGCGGCGUGCUUAACACAUGCAAGUCGAACGGAAAGGCCCUGCUUUUGUGGGGUGCUCGAGUGGCGAACGGGUGAGUAACACGUGAGUAACCUGCCCUUGACUUUGGGAUAACUUCAGGAAACUGGGGCUAAUACCGGAUAGGAGCUCCUGCUGCAUGGUGGGGGUUGGAAAGCUUCGGCGGUUGGGGAUGGACUCGCGGCUUAUCAGCUUGUUGGUGGGGUAGUGGCUUACCAAGGCUUUGACGGGUAGCCGGCCUGAGAGGGUGACCGGCCACAUUGGGACUGAGAUACGGCCCAGACUCCUACGGGAGGCAGCAGUGGGGAAUAUUGCACAAUGGGCGGAAGCCUGAUGCAGCAACGCCGCGUGCGGGAUGACGGCCUUCGGGUUGUAAACCGCUUUCGCCUGUGACGAAGCGUGAGUGACGGUAAUGGGUAAAGAAGCACCGGCUAACUACGUGCCAGCAGCCGCGGUGAUACGUAGGGUGCGAGCGUUGUCCGGAUUUAUUGGGCGUAAAGGGCUCGUAGGUGGUUGAUCGCGUCGGAAGUGUAAUCUUGGGGCUUAACCCUGAGCGUGCUUUCGAUACGGGUUGACUUGAGGAAGGUAGGGGAGAAUGGAAUUCCUGGUGGAGCGGUGGAAUGCGCAGAUAUCAGGAGGAACACCAGUGGCGAAGGCGGUUCUCUGGGCCUUUCCUGACGCUGAGGAGCGAAAGCGUGGGGAGCGAACAGGCUUAGAUACCCUGGUAGUCCACGCUGUAAACGGUGGGUACUAGGUGUGGGGUCCAUUCCACGGGUUCCGUGCCGUAGCUAACGCUUUAAGUACCCCGCCUGGGGAGUACGGCCGCAAGGCUAAAACUCAAAGGAAUUGACGGGGCCCCGCACAAGCGGCGGAGCAUGCGGAUUAAUUCGAUGCAACGCGUAGAACCUUACCUGGGUUUGACAUGGAUCGGGAGUGCUCAGAGAUGGGUGUGCCUCUUUUGGGGUCGGUUCACAGGUGGUGCAUGGCUGUCGUCAGCUCGUGUCGUGAGAUGUUGGGUUAAGUCCCGCAACGAGCGCAACCCUUGUUCACUGUUGCCAGCACGUUAUGGUGGGGACUCAGUGGAGACCGCCGGGGUCAACUCGGAGGAAGGUGGGGAUGACGUCAAGUCAUCAUGCCCCUUAUGUCCAGGGCUUCACGCAUGCUACAAUGGCUGGUACAGAGAGUGGCGAGCCUGUGAGGGUGAGCGAAUCUCGGAAAGCCGGUCUCAGUUCGGAUUGGGGUCUGCAACUCGACCUCAUGAAGUCGGAGUCGCUAGUAAUCGCAGAUCAGCAACGCUGCGGUGAAUACGUUCCCGGG